Molecule: ribosomal RNA, 468 nt
Filed under: uncultured bacterium
Lineage: Bacteria
Description: partial 16S ribosomal RNA
Rfam family: Bacterial small subunit ribosomal RNA
Source: RNAcentral
GACGAACGCUGGCGGCGUGCUUAACACAUGCAAGUCGAACGGAAAGGCCCUGCUUUUGUGGGGUGCUCGAGUGGCGAACGGGUGAGUAACACGUGAGUAACCUGCCCUUGACUUUGGGAUAACUUCAGGAAACUGGGGCUAAUACCGGAUAGGAGCUCCUGCUGCAUGGUGGGGGUUGGAAAGUUUCGGCGGUUGGGGCUGGACUCGCGGCUUAUCAGCUUGUUGGUGGGGUAGUGGCUUACCAAGGCUUUGACGGGUAGCCGGCCUGAGAGGGUGACCGGCCACCUUGGGACUGAGAUACGGCCCAGACUCCUACGGGAGGCAGCAGUGGGGAAUAUUGCACAAUGGGAGGAAGCCUGAUGCAGCAACGCCGCGUGCGGGAUGACGGCUUUCGGGUUGUAAACCGCUUUAGCCUGUGACGAAGCGUGAGUGACGGUAAUGGGUAAAGAAGCACCGGCUAACUACGUG